Molecule: ribosomal RNA, 253 nt
Filed under: uncultured bacterium
Lineage: Bacteria
Description: partial 16S ribosomal RNA
Rfam family: Bacterial small subunit ribosomal RNA
Source: RNAcentral
UACGAAGGGGGCGAGCGUUAUUCGGAAUCACUGGGCGUAAAGCGUGCGUAGGCUGUUUUGUAAGUUGGAAGUGAAAGCCCAGGGCUCAACCUUGGAAUUGCUUUCAAAACUGCAAGACUCGAGUUCGGGAGAGGAUAGCGGAAUUCCCAGUGUAGUAGUGAAAUACGUAGAUAUUGGGAGGAACACCAGUGGCGCAAGCGGCUAUCUGGACCGACACUGACGCUGAGGCACGAAAGCGUGGGGAUCAAACAGG